UUUCGCUCGCACCCUCGCGUUGCGGCGCCUCGCCAUGGUCGACCGAUGUGGGGUCCCUCCACCUUCGCUAUCCCUGACCACGACCUCGAGUGGCGGCGCCACCGCUUCUCUCUGUGUGCCCCUCCGCCGCUGCGUCGCCGGUAUCUCGCUGAAAGGCGCGUCGAGCUUGCCAGAUCGGCCCUGCCGCCGCGAAUCCACUUCGUCCCUAUGUUGAUUCUGAGCUGACCUUGAGGCGAUCGCCGAUGAUUGGAUUGAGGGGGCUCUCUUGAGGCAACACCGAGAUGACGGUCUGCUGCAACUCGGCGGCAAUGACAACGCGCGACAGUUAGCCGGUGAUUUGAGUGAGGGGGCUCUCACGCGGAGAUGUCGACGGGCUGCAAGUCAGGGACAAUGGGUAUGUAGCAGUAGAGGCAGCCCAUCUUCCUUCCUCUGCUUAUGCGCGCAGGUGCUUUGGCCAUUGGUCUCCACAAAUUCUUGAGGUGAGAAACUUUGGAUUCUCUCUCAUACAUACCAUAGAUUUUGUAUAUCUUCUUAUUUGGAUCUUCCACGUUUCUGUCUUGUAUUUGAUCCAUUAUUUCCAUUUAUCUCUAAUUCUUGUAUUUGUGUUUUCUGAUAAUGUUUUCUAGAAUUCAUGUUGCCUCUUGCGACCCCCUCUGCUGUAUAGUAUCACACCAUUGAGCUGCCCUCUGGUUCCUAAGUAUCCAGAAAAGAAUGCAUAUCUUGCUUAAGGAUGAUGGUUCCCUUCAUUGAUUGCAUAACUGCUGGUAUUUGUACUAAAGGUUGGACAUCAAAGGAAGUUCUGAUGGGCAAGAGGUGCCUUUAAUGGUUGAAGUUCCAAUUUAUACAACAAGAUGGUGUGUGUGUGUGUGUGUGUGAAAGCUAGAGAUGGAAAUAGAUCUGUUGGUUCAACAAGUGAUGAAUAGAGCAGUCACUCCCAUAGGUACUUUUUUUGCGAGAAUCCCAUAGGUACUGUUGUUUGAUUGAA
Aegilops tauschii subsp. strangulata is the source of this 985-nucleotide long non-coding RNA. RefSeq lists it as uncharacterized. The record is from RefSeq and is a predicted model, not a curated record. Lineage: Eukaryota; Viridiplantae; Streptophyta; Magnoliopsida; Poales; Poaceae.